Molecule: non-coding RNA, 174 nt
Filed under: unclassified sequences
Source: RNAcentral
AUAUGCAUUGCCUGUGAAGGUAGUGCAUAUUUUUAUUAUUAGAUCAUCAGAAGAUGACAAGCAUGUGGGGCGUAAGUAAUUAUAUAGACAUUUAUAUUUAUUAAAUACGACAUAUAAAUAUAUUUGGACAUUCGUACUUAUAUAAUUAUGAUCGUGCAGACGUUAAAAUCAUGU